This is a long non-coding RNA of Mastomys coucha (southern multimammate mouse), 789 nucleotides long. RefSeq lists it as uncharacterized. The record is from RefSeq and is a predicted model, not a curated record. Lineage: Eukaryota; Metazoa; Chordata; Mammalia; Rodentia; Muridae. The transcript is spliced from 3 exons.
AGCUGGUUGCCCCAGUGACCAGCAGGUGCAGAGGAACCAGAAAGACUAGUUGCAGUUUUCUGCUUCUGAGAUCCUGAAAAGGCUCUGGUGAGUCAAUAGUUAAUGUUUUCUUCUUUAAAAAGAAAAUGUGAAAAUGCCCAAAGGAAGGGUUCUCCAUUUCUCCUUGGGUGUUCCUAAAGGCACAUCACCUUCCCUUAGUUUCAAGACCUAGAAUCAGACCACACAGGCUACCACCCACCUGUCACUGGCCAGGAGAGAGAUCAGCUCAGGGUGCUGUGUGUGCUCAGCCUCCCUGAAGCUCAGCCAAUGACAGCUUCCUGACAGGAAGGGCGAAGAGAAGAGCAGAAGCUGGAAAAUCAAACGACAGCAUCGUCUGAUAGUCCAGCACAGCCGAGGCUCCUUUCAAAGAACGUGCUGGGGCUACCUGAAGCCUUGUUGAAAACAUCAGUCCUGACUCCACAGGCCUGGGAUGGACCUUUGAUUCUGUGUUUUUGACAGGCUCCACAGAGAGGGCAGGAGGAUGGCUGGCCAACGGUCAUACAUUGAGCAAAUCACCACGCAAUAUCAUGUAUUUCUUUUAUGUUUUUUAUUACAUAAAACUUGACAUCUUGGCCUGGUGAGAUGGCUCGGAAGGGGUUAAGACACUACCAAGCCUGAAGACCUGAGCCCCUUCUACAUGGUAGGAGGAAAGAAGUAACUUCUGUGACUUAUUCUCUGGCUUCCAAACGUGCUUUUGUGACAUGUAUGCCCCAAUCUCAAUGUAAUAAACAGAAGGUUUUUGAACUUGCC